This 492-nucleotide ribosomal RNA is filed under the name uncultured bacterium. Its description in RNAcentral is "partial 16S ribosomal RNA". It matches the Rfam family "Bacterial small subunit ribosomal RNA", at positions 29 to 507 of the family's 1533-position model. The record is from RNAcentral.
AGUGAACGCUGGCGGUAGGCCUAACACAUGCAAGUCGAACGGCAGCACAGUAAGAUCUUGCCCUUACGGGUGGCGAGUGACGGGCGGGUGAGGCAUACAUAGGAAUCUACUUCUUCGGGGGGGAUAACGGAGGGAAACUUACGAUAAUACCGCAUACGACCUACGGGAGAAAGCAGGGGAUCUUCAGACCUUGCGCGACUGAAUGAGCCGAUGUCGGAUUAGCUAGUUGGCGGGGUAACGGCACACCAAGGCGACGAUCCGUAGCCGGCCUGAGAGGAUGAUCGGCCACACUGGAACUGAGACACGGUCCAGACUCCUACGGGAGGCAGCAGUGGGGAAUAUUGGGCAAUGGGCGCAAGCCUGACCCAGCCAUACCGCGUGGGUGAUGGAGGUCUUCGGGUUGUAAAGCCCUUUUGUUGGGAAAGAACAGCUGCGGGUUUAUCUCCCGCUGUUUUGACGGUACCCAAAGAGUAAGCACCGGCUAACUUCGUG